This 810-nucleotide ribosomal RNA is filed under the name uncultured Bacillota bacterium. Its description in RNAcentral is "bacterial SSU rRNA". It matches the Rfam family "Bacterial small subunit ribosomal RNA", at positions 1 to 799 of the family's 1533-position model. The record is from RNAcentral. Lineage: Bacteria; Bacillati; Bacillota.
AGGAGAGUUUGAUCCUGGCUCAGGAUGAACGCUGGCGGCGUGCCUAACACAUGCAAGUCGAACGGACUUUGCCCGCUGACGAGACUUCGGUCAAAUCUUGGGUAAAGUUAGUGGCGGACGGGUGAGUAACGCGUGGGCAACCUGCCUCAUACUGGGGGAUAACAGUUGGAAACGACUGUUAAUACCGCAUAAGCGCACAGAGUCGCAUGACUCAGUGUGAAAAACUCCGGUGGUAUGAGAUGGGCCCGCGUCAGAUUAGCCAGUUGGCGGGGUAACGGCCCACCAAAGCGACGAUCUGUAGCCGGACUGAGAGGUCGGACGGCCACAUUGGGACUGAGACACGGCCCAAACUCCUACGGGAGGCAGCAGUGGGGGAUAUUGCACAAUGGAGGAAACUCUGAUGCAGCGACGCCGCGUGAGUGAAGAAGUAUUUCGGUAUGUAAAGCUCUAUCAGCAGGGAAGAAAGGCUCGUAAGAGAGAUGACGGUACCUGACUAAGAAGCCCCGGCUAACUACGUGCCAGCAGCCGCGGUAAUACGUAGGGGGCAAGCGUUAUCCGGAUUUACUGGGUGUAAAGGGAGCGCAGACGGUUAUGCAAGUCUGAAGUGAAACCCCACGGCUCAACCGUGGGCUUGCUUUGGAAACUGUAUAACUAGAGUACUGGAGAGGUAAGCGGAAUUCCUAGUGUAGCGGUGAAAUGCGUAGAUAUUAGGAGGAACAUCGGUGGCGAAGGCGGCUUACUGGACAGCAACUGACGUUGAGGCUCGAAGGCGUGGGGAGCAAACAGGAUUAGAUACCCUGGUAGUCCCCU